This 305-nucleotide ribosomal RNA is filed under the name uncultured bacterium. RNAcentral describes it as "bacterial SSU rRNA". It matches the Rfam family "Bacterial small subunit ribosomal RNA", at positions 338 to 641 of the family's 1533-position model. The record is from RNAcentral.
CCUACGGGAGGCAGCAGUGAGGAAUAUUGGUCAAUGGUCGGGAGACUGAACCAGCCAAGCCGCGUGAGGGAGGAAGGUACAGAGUAUCGUAAACCUCUUUUGUCAGGGAACAAAGACUGGGACGCGUCCCCGGAUGAGGGUACCUGAAGAAAAAGCAUCGGCUAACUCCGUGCCAGCAGCCGCGGUAAUACGGAGGAUGCGAGCGCUAUCCGGAUUUAUUGGGUUUAAAGGGUGCGCAGGCGGUCUGUUAAGGCCGCGGUCAAAGCCCGGGGCUCAACCCCGGCCCGCCGUUGAAGCUGGCAGUG